This is a non-coding RNA of Pelobates cultripes (western spadefoot toad), 209 nucleotides long. The record is from the annotation of a GenBank genome assembly. Lineage: Eukaryota; Metazoa; Chordata; Amphibia; Anura; Pelobatidae.
GUUAUGUUGUCUACUAAAUCACAAUCUCUUUAAAAAUAUAUUUACAUCACAGACAUGUUAAAAAAAUGUAGCUUCUCCAGGAUACGUAUCUCCUUAAUAACCAUCUUGGCAAUUGUUAAAAGAAUUUUAAAGGGACACUAUAGUUACCAGAAUAACUACAGCUUAUUGUAUUUGUUCUGGUGAGUAUAAUCAUUCCCUUCAGGCUUUUU